UGUAAAUGAGUGUUUAAGGUAAACCCUAACCCCUAACCCUCCUCCAGGUACACACUAUAUAAAUGAGUGUUUAAGGUAAACCCUAACCCCUAACCCUCCUCCAGGUACACACUAUAUAAAUGAGUGUUUAAGGUAAACCCUAACCCCUAACCCUCCUCCAGGUACACACUAUAUAAAUGAGUGUUUAAGGUAAACCCUAACCCCUAACCCUCCUAUAGGUACACACUAUAUAAAUGAGUGUUUAAGGUAAACCCUAACCCCUAACCCUCCUCCAGGUACACACUAUAUAAAUGAGUGUUUAAGGUAAAC
Long non-coding RNA from Esox lucius (northern pike), 309 nucleotides. RefSeq lists it as uncharacterized. The record is from RefSeq and is a predicted model, not a curated record. The transcript has 2 exons. NCBI's taxonomy places the organism in Eukaryota, Metazoa, Chordata, Actinopteri, Esociformes, Esocidae.